CCUAGCGGCCGCGACACGGGACGCCCUGCCCCGAGAGGCCGGGCUGCACCGGCUACUGCGACAGAGCGCCCGGACUCACCGGGCCGUGGGGAGGGCGGGGGUCUGUAAGAUGGCCUCCUGCGGUCUUUGAAAUGACUUGCUCGGUGGUGUUCCGGCUGGGCAGAAAUGAAUCGAGUAAAGGGUGGUGUUUCUUGCAGUGGCCUUUUCAGCCGGCCACACAGACCCUUCCGUUGCUCAGUUUACUGUGGUAGAAGAGCGGUGGCUUUCGAACACGUUGGAUCAUUCCACAGCAAGAAAGAGAGUGUAUAUUACGGCCCAGCACCUACAUAACACCGAUAAAACCACGGAAACCUGGGAAGCAGGCCACCGUGACCUGUCUAUCGUAUAUCAGCAUCCUGUGGUAGAUCAGCAAACUGAUAAAUACAUUUCAAAAUUAUUGGAA
Molecule: long non-coding RNA, 442 nt
Organism: Zalophus californianus (California sea lion)
Lineage: Eukaryota; Metazoa; Chordata; Mammalia; Carnivora; Otariidae
Exons: 3
Source: RefSeq, a predicted model, not a curated record